This 255-nucleotide unclassified non-coding RNA is filed under the name Hevea brasiliensis (rubber tree). Lineage: Eukaryota; Viridiplantae; Streptophyta; Magnoliopsida; Malpighiales; Euphorbiaceae. The record is from RNAcentral.
GUUCAAUUAUCAAAAGAUGGAGUUCCUUUCUGUAUGGAUAUGGCAGAUCUUUUGACAGGUACAACUGUUGUCACUUCUUUCUCAGCUCGAACUACAACUAUCCCCGAAGUUCAAUCUGAAGCUGGAAUCUUCUCUUUUGAUCUUACUUGGGCGGAGAUUUUGACUCUCAAACGUAAGCCUUUUUUCUGCUUCUUUAAAUUCUCUUCUAAAACUUUUUAGACUUUUGCUUCUCCUUUAAUUCUGUCUCUGUCUCUG